RNAcentral lists this ribosomal RNA (406 nucleotides) under uncultured bacterium. RNAcentral describes it as "partial 16S ribosomal RNA". It matches the Rfam family "Bacterial small subunit ribosomal RNA", at positions 28 to 526 of the family's 1533-position model. The record is from RNAcentral.
GAUGAACGCUGGCGGCGCGCCUAACACAUGCAAGUCGAACGGAGUGGCGAACGGCUGAGUAACACGUUGGCAACCUGCCCUCCUCUUGGGGAUAGCCCCGGGAAAACAGGAUCAUACCCGAUAGGAAGGGAUGGCCCGCGGCUGGUUAGCUUGUGGGUGGGGUAGAGGCCUACCAAGGCAAUGAUGGGUAGCUGGGUUGGGAGACUGACCAGCCAGAUGGGGACUGAGACACGGCCCAGACGCCUACGGGGGGCAGCGGUGGGGAAUCUUGCACAGUGGGCGAAAGCCUGAUGCAGCGACGCCGCGGGCGGGACGAAGGCCUUCGGGUUGUAAACCGCUUUCAGCAGGGACGCGGUACCUGCAGAAGAAGCACCGGUUAACUACGUGCCAGCAGCCGCGGUAAUUC